UACGUAGGAUGCGAGCGUUAUCCGGAUUUAUUGGGUUUAAAGGGUGCGCAGGCGGCACGGCAAGCCGGCGGUCAAAUCGCGGGGCUCAACCCCGCCCAGCCGUCGGAACUGCCGGGCUAGAGUGGGCGAGAAGUGCGCGGAAUGCGUGGUGUAGCGGUGAAAUGCAUAGAUAUCACGCAGAACUCCGAUUGCGAAGGCAGCGCACCGGCGCCCUACUGACGCUCAGGCACGAAAGCGUGGGUAUCGAACGGG
RNAcentral lists this ribosomal RNA (252 nucleotides) under uncultured bacterium. RNAcentral describes it as "partial 16S ribosomal RNA". It matches the Rfam family "Bacterial small subunit ribosomal RNA", at positions 524 to 776 of the family's 1533-position model. The record is from RNAcentral.